AUGAAUGAACAACUUUCUUUAGUGAACUGGAAUGUGAGGGGUUUGAAUGAUAGAGCACGUCGCGCGGCUGUGCGUGCGAUGGUUGAAGGCACACGCUGCUCCAUUGUGUGCAUCCAAGAAUCCACGCUCACUGCCACCUCAGUUAGGGACCGAAGGGAGAUCGUUGGAUCUCACUUUGACGAACACACGGCCCUGGCCGCUGAUGGUACGAGGGGAGGAAUAGUGCUUUGCUGGCGGUCCGAGUGUUACAGUGUGAGCAACAUUGCCAUUAGGGAUUUCUCCAUUACUGCAACCUUCACUCCUUCGGAAGGACGGCCGGCUUGGGCAUUGACCACGGUCUAUGGCCCUCAUGAUGACGCCCGGAAACAGUCCUUCCUUAAUGAGAUGGCAGCAAUCCACAACGCCAUGACCCAACCAUGGUUGGUGAUUGGUGAUUUCAACCUAAUUAAGGACCCCCAGGAUAAGAACAAUGGGAGAGUUAAUCGUAGAUGGAUGAACAAAUUUCGCCGCACCCUAAACAGAUCAAGCCUACAUGAGAUCCCGCUAAUAGGGUGUCGUUUCACGUGGAGUAACGAGCAGGACUCGCCAACCCUCGUCAUAUUAGACCACGCAUUCUGCACUGUCGAAUGGGAAUUGCUCCUUCCCGGCGCCAAGCUGCUGCCCAAAGCUUCCUCGGUCUCGGACCAUUGUGUGGGGGAAUGUAGCAGAAAUUCAAAAUUUUCCUACGUGUCACCAAGAUCAAUCUAG
RNAcentral lists this ribosomal RNA (747 nucleotides) under Triticum aestivum (bread wheat). RNAcentral describes it as "partial small subunit ribosomal RNA". The record is from RNAcentral. Lineage: Eukaryota; Viridiplantae; Streptophyta; Magnoliopsida; Poales; Poaceae.